Amborella trichopoda is the source of this 1725-nucleotide long non-coding RNA. RefSeq lists it as uncharacterized. NCBI's taxonomy places the organism in Eukaryota, Viridiplantae, Streptophyta, Magnoliopsida, Amborellales, Amborellaceae. The record is from RefSeq and is a predicted model, not a curated record.
UAUAAAAAAUCAAGUGAAAAUAUCUCUUUACCCCUAUUUUUAACUUCAAUGUCUUUUGGGAUCCGACGAAAAAUAUUAUUUGAAAGCGAAUAUUACUUGAAAGCAAAGGAUCUCUGUUUUUCCAGCAACCCCUUAAAUCCCUUUUUGCGAAGAAUGUUUGACCCCAAUAAAAAAAAAAAUGGUAUCCUCUCUCAACAGUGGGGUGCCCAUUGGUUUUAUUAGAGAGAGAGAGUAGGUGAAGAACGUGAGAGUGAGAGAGAGGCAUGAGAUGGAGAGAUGGUGGAAAGAGGAAGGCGGAGGAGGAAGAGAGAGCAGUGUCAGAGGUUGAGAGAGGGUUUGCUACGUGCAGCGGCUGAGGAGAGAGCAGAUGGGAGGUCAUGGGAAGAAGGCAGUUGUGGUGGGCUUGUUGUAUGCGGCGGUUGCGACGGUUGAGGGAAGCGGCAGCUGAUUGAGAGGCGUGAGGAAAGAGAGGAUAGAGACAAGAGAGGAGAAAAAUCCGGUGACAAAUCCGACCAUCUUCUACCCGAAAAAUUUCUAAAUUGAAAUAAAAAAAGAACACUGGCUCAGCAAAGAAAAACCAACGGGCACCCACUGCACUUUCUUUCUCUCCGCCAUCCGUCUCAACCAGCUGCGGCCCGGCCCUCAUUUCCACCUAUUUGUUCCACCUCUGCAGCCACCAUCUGUGUUUUACCCCUCUUCUCAACCAAGCCAUGAUCACCACUUGCAACCAAUCCAUCCCCUGCUGCGGCCCGGCCCCCGUGCUGCUGCUCCCUUUUUCCCAUCCUCGUCCAUCUCUCUUCCUUCAUCCUGUGCCCAACUCCCUGUUCUUCCUCUUCCUUGCAACCAAUCCCUCAUUUCUGCCACCAGCAGUCGGCCCACAACUCUGUUGCCCCUCUCUCACCCUCUGCCACCGCUUUCUCUCUUUCGCUAACCAAAAUGUUGAGUUACAUUUAACCAAGUCUAUCCACCAAACCCUGAAAUUUGAGAACCAAAAGAAAGCUUUGGCUGAUUCAACAAUGGCGUCUACUGUUUCAGCCACAAAAUUCUUUUAUUAAGCCCUGAAGGAUUAAGACCAAACAAGCAAACUACUAAUAUUUUCUGUCAAGCAAAAAACCCAACUUUCCAAAAUAUAGAAAUCUGGUUUUUGCAGCCUCUUUGAUACAUAGUCAAACAAGUCCAACACUGAUAAGAGAGACCCAAGAAGAAAAAUUGUGACCGUUGUGACCCACAAAAAACCCAUCUUCCAAAGCCAUGGAGAGUGCCUCAUCAGUUUGACAUAGAAGUCUUGAACGGUUUUAGCCCUGAAAAAAGAGAUCCUACAAGCAAAAUCGUAACUUUUUUUGACCCAGAAAAGACCCAACUUGCCAGAGCCAUGAAGAAAGGUUUGGCUGCUUCGAUUAUGGCGUCCGCUGUUCUCCGCCAGCAAAAUGGACCUAAAAACGAAGAAGCUGAUUGGAUUGGGUGAGAUGAGAGAUGGGUUGUAUCACUAUGUUCAGCCACCGACAAAUAAACAAGUUGCUCUUCCUGCUCAUUGUAGUUCAAACUUUGAACUUUGGCAUCGAAGACUCUGACAUUCAUCCCAACAUAGUUUGGCUAGUUUACCUUCAUCUCAUUUAGAUAUAUUUCCAUGUUUUGUUACACAUUGUGAUGUAUGCAUUUGGGCUAAACAUACACGUUUCUCAUUUACUUCUAGUUUGAAUAAAUGCUCUUCUCCUUUUAAACUUA